Molecule: ribosomal RNA, 448 nt
Filed under: uncultured bacterium
Lineage: Bacteria
Description: bacterial SSU rRNA
Rfam family: Bacterial small subunit ribosomal RNA
Source: RNAcentral
AUUGAACGCUGGCGGCGUGCUUAACACAUGCAAGUCGUGCGGUAACAGGCGUAGCAAUACGUGCUGACGAGCGGCGAACGGGUGCGUAAUACAUGGGAAUCUGCCCUUUAGUGGGGAAUAACCCGGCGAAAGCCGGGCUAAUGCCGCAUAAGAUCUUCGGAUGAAAGCGGGGGAUCGUAAGACCUCGCGCUGAUGGAUGAGCCCAUGUCGGAUUAGCAGUUGGUGAGGUAACGGCUCACCAAGGCGACGAUCCGUAGCUGGUCUGAGAGGACGGCCAGCCACACUGGGACUGAGACACGGCCCAGACUCCUACGGGAGGCAGCAGUGGGGAAUAUUGGACAAUGGGCGCAAGCCUGAUCCAGCGAUGCCGCGUGUGUGAAGAAGGCCUGCGGGUUGUAAAGCACUUUCAGUAGGGAAGAAAGCCGAGUGCUAAUAUCACUCGGUCUUG